This 493-nucleotide ribosomal RNA is filed under the name uncultured bacterium. Its description in RNAcentral is "bacterial SSU rRNA". It matches the Rfam family "Bacterial small subunit ribosomal RNA", at positions 26 to 507 of the family's 1533-position model. The record is from RNAcentral.
AGGAUGAACGCUAGCUACAGGCUUAACACAUGCAAGUCGAGGGGAACGAUAUUGGAAGCUUGCUUCCGAUAGGCGUCGACCGGCGCACGGGUGAGUAACGCGUAUCCAACCUGCCCAUCACUUGGGGAUAACCUUGCGAAAGUAAGACUAAUACCCAAUGACGUCUCUAGAAGACAUCUGAAGGAGAUUAAAGAUUUAUCGGUGAUGGAUGGGGAUGCGUCUGAUUAGCUUGUUGGCGGGGUAACGGCCCACCAAGGCGACGAUCAGUAGGGGUUCUGAGAGGAAGGUCCCCCACAUUGGAACUGAGACACGGUCCAAACUCCUACGGGAGGCAGCAGUGAGGAAUAUUGGUCAAUGGACGAGAGUCUGAACCAGCCAAGUAGCGUGCAGGAUGACGGCCCUAUGGGUUGUAAACUGCUUUUAUAAGGGAAUAAAGUGAGUCUCGUGAGACUUUUUGCAUGUACCUUAUGAAUAAGGACCGGCUAAUUCCGUG